RNAcentral lists this ribosomal RNA (435 nucleotides) under Triticum aestivum (bread wheat). RNAcentral's name for it is "partial small subunit ribosomal RNA". The record is from RNAcentral. Lineage: Eukaryota; Viridiplantae; Streptophyta; Magnoliopsida; Poales; Poaceae.
AUGUUCAACACCUACAUGAAGUCAUCAUCGACAAAACCCAAGGGUCAGCAGUCAGUGAUUUGCAGCAUGUCAGACCAAAGUGAUAGUCAGAACAAGUCAGAAGAGCAGAUUCACAUGAGUGAGGGCACUAGUCCCUCAAGUUCUUCAGAUGAUGGCAGCAGGAGCACCCCAAGCAAUCUGCCUAAAGCUACCACCAGGACAAGGAAGAAGAGAACCUCAGAAUCUGAGGAUGAGGAUUAUAUGACAGAAGAAGAUGAGGCUACUUCCAAGAAGGUAGUGCUCAAAAAGGAGUAUGGCUCAGCAAAGACCACAAAGCCUGGACUCAAUAGGAAGGUUCCUGCCAAGAGGACACCUAUGCUGAAGGUCAGAGGAUCAACUCAAGUGCCUGAAAAGACUGAUCCCAAAGAGCCAGAGUUGUUAGUCAACCUUCCAUGA